GGAAACGUGCUCGCUAGGAGGUCGCAUCCUAUGCAUACGUAUCUUCUCUAACCAGAGAAAGAAUCAGAGCACUCGUAGCUCGGCUAACGCACGCCAAACAAAACCACACAGGAAACCGACUGGCAAUCGCUGGACUUACGUCAGACUCCACACAAACAGGCAAACAUGGAAACCGAAUGCCAAUCGCUGGACUUACAUCAGACUCCGAACCAACAAACACA
Molecule: long non-coding RNA, 221 nt
Filed under: Lathyrus oleraceus (garden pea)
Lineage: Eukaryota; Viridiplantae; Streptophyta; Magnoliopsida; Fabales; Fabaceae
Description: Pisum sativum (pea) long non-coding RNA (PSAT_LNC017771)
Source: RNAcentral